RNAcentral lists this long non-coding RNA (1133 nucleotides) under Cyanistes caeruleus (blue tit). RNAcentral describes it as "lncRNA (ENSCCEG00000017128.1)". Lineage: Eukaryota; Metazoa; Chordata; Aves; Passeriformes; Paridae. The record is from RNAcentral.
CUCAGCUGUGCCUGCCCUGUCACCCUGACCCAUCCAAGGCACCUCAGUUGCUGCCAGUGCUGCUUAACUGUCUGCUGCAAGAACCUGAAUUGUGUCAAGGAGGUAAAAAAGCCUCAAGAACACUGGAGAAUUAUUCAGAUCCAGGGAAUAAUGCAGGUGACCUCUAAAGGAAAACAGGGGUGAAAAGGAGUCCAGCAGGGGUAACCAGCCUGUUCCAUGGAGAGGGCUGGGCUUUGGGCAGUCACAGUCCAUGGACAGGAACGUGAGGACUCCAGCUCCUUUCAUCCCCAGCAGCACUCCUGGGGCACGGACAGGGCAUGCAGAGCUCAGAGGCACACGAGACCUUUCUGUAGCAGCACCCCAGCAGCAUUCAAGCCUGUCACAAGGGGUCAGCAAGAGCAGUGUUUUCCACUCAGUUCCUGAUUCUCAGCUCUCCCGGCUGACUCAGGGAAAGACCUGGCUGCCCCAGGAGCAUUUGUUUCCAGGAGAAACUCCUUUUCUUUCAGGACACGUGAGUGUCUCCCACCACAGAUCCCCUGGGGUAUGAGGUAAAUACAGAUAGAGACAGAUACAGACAAAUAGAUGACAUGGAAUGGUUUGGGUUGGAAGGGAUGUCAAAUAUCAUCCAUUUCCAGCCCCCUGCCAUGGGCAGUGACACCUUUCACUAGACCAGGCUCAGAGCCACAUCCAGCCUGGCUCUGAACACUUCCAGACUGGAUGGAGCCCUGAGCAUCCUGUGGAGAUGGAUGGAGCUGGACAGAGCUCUGUACACAUCUCCAUUUAAACACUGAUGUAUGUAUCUCUCUGCCUGUGUGCACCCAUGUGAAUUGACUAUGGUGUCAUUGCUAUCAUGAAUCUGUAAUUAAGUCACUGUUAUAAUUGUAGCUACUCCUAUUGAGUCACUUUUUAAAUGUUAAAUUAGUUGAUGAUUAAGAGUUGCUAACCCCUUCUGAACCUUUGCCUUCUCGUAUCCAUAUACUUUACCCCCUUACCCUUCUGCAUCUCUGGUCUUUGUGUAAAUCAUCCUAAAUUGACUCUAAUCUGAUUUUCUUACGUGUGCUUCAUCCAUGUCCUAAGUAACAGAGUCACCUUUGCCACUGAACUCUAAUAAAAGUUGCACUCUCAUAAAUUCA